AUACGGAGGAUGCAAGCGUUAUCCGGAAUCAUUGGGCGUAAAGCGUCUGUAGGUGGUUUUGUAAGUCCGCUGUAAAAGAGUACAGCUUAACUGUAUAUGGGCAGUGGAAACUACAAGACUGGAGUGUGGUAGGGGUAGAGGGAAUUCCCGGUGUAGCGGUGAAAUGCGUAGAUAUCGGGAAGAACACCAACGGCGAAAGCACUCUACUGGGCCAACACUGACACUGAGAGACGAAAGCUAAGGGAGACGAAAAGGAUUAGAUACCCUUGUAGUCUUAGCCGUAAACGAUGGAUACUAAGUGGUGCGCGUAUUCAUGCCUGCACUGCUGUAG
Molecule: ribosomal RNA, 331 nt
Filed under: uncultured cyanobacterium
Lineage: Bacteria; Bacillati; Cyanobacteriota
Description: bacterial SSU rRNA
Rfam family: Bacterial small subunit ribosomal RNA
Source: RNAcentral